This 253-nucleotide ribosomal RNA is filed under the name uncultured bacterium. RNAcentral describes it as "partial 16S ribosomal RNA". It matches the Rfam family "Bacterial small subunit ribosomal RNA", at positions 524 to 776 of the family's 1533-position model. The record is from RNAcentral.
GACAUAGGUUGCGAACGUUAUCCGAAAUUAUUGGGCGUAAAGAGCUCGUAGGCGGUUUGUCGCGUCUGCCGUGAAAGUCCGGGGCUCAACUCCGGAUCUGCGGUGGGUACGGGCAGACUAGAGUGAUGUAGGGGAGACUGGAAUUCCUGGUGUAGCGGUGAAAUGCGCAGAUAUCAGGAGGAACACCGAUGGCGAAGGCAGGUCUCUGGGCAUUAACUGACGCUGAGGAGCGAAAGCAUGGGGAGCGAACAGG